GACGAACCGUGCGAACGUUAUUCGGAAUCACUGGGCUUAAAGCGUGUGUAGGCGGACCCGUCAGUGUCUUGUGAAAUCCCACGGCUCAACCGUGGAACGGCUGGGCAUACUGCGGGUCUUGAGACACCUAGGGGCGAGCGGAACAGGCGGUGGAGCGGUGAAAUGCGUAGAUAUCGCCUGGAACGCCGACGGUGAAAACAGCUCGCUGGGGGUGUUCUGACGCUGAGACACGAAAGCCAGGGGAGCGAACGGG
This 253-nucleotide ribosomal RNA is filed under the name uncultured bacterium. RNAcentral describes it as "partial 16S ribosomal RNA". It matches the Rfam family "Bacterial small subunit ribosomal RNA", at positions 524 to 776 of the family's 1533-position model. The record is from RNAcentral.